Molecule: long non-coding RNA, 717 nt
Organism: Bos taurus (domestic cattle)
Lineage: Eukaryota; Metazoa; Chordata; Mammalia; Artiodactyla; Bovidae
Source: Ensembl
GUAGAAAUACAGCUAUUUGACAAGUAUUACUGUCUAUCUACAUCCUUCAGUAGAACUCCUGAGAGCAGUGCUGUCAGUUUUUUCUCACCUUGGAGAAGCUUCUUAGUCAUAUAUUAUAAAGGGUUGAACAGAGAUGAUGGGUUGGACCUCAGUCAGCUCAUGACCAGCUCAUGACCAAGCUCAUCACAUGCCCUUGUGAUGAAGUUGUCUUUAGUAAAGAAGCCUUUACAAAUCUUGGUCCAGCCAUGCAAGGAACACAGAUGGUGAGUUAUGUGUGGUUUGAACUGAAAAUAUGCCAAAUGAUAAAUAUAUAAACAUCCGGACCACAUGGCCAUAUCUGAUUAAGACCAGAACAGGAGGCUUCAUGGUGUUCACCUGUCAGUGUGCUGAGACGAAGCCACUAUACAAAGAGUGUAAGGAUCCUGUUCAAGGUCACACACAUGGUAUGUGGCUGAGCUCUGAGUCAGGCCAGGCAGACUGGUUCCUGAGCCUGUUCUGACCCCUGAAGUUCACAUGGACAAGUUUAGUGUCCUCCCUAAAGCUUUCCUCCUUGAAAUCUUGGAUGAGAUGGGACACUGAGAUUUCCUUAUGUGUCAGAGAAGAUAAACCUUCAUCAGAGGGUGAGUUGGUCCAUGUUGACCUGCAUCCCAGCUCUGGGGUACAGGGUUCUGCCUGAACACAGCCUGCAAGCCCUGGGUUAACCUCUCCUUCCAGCCC